This 223-nucleotide long non-coding RNA is filed under the name Panicum hallii. RNAcentral's name for it is "long non-coding RNA (PHAL_LNC000785)". Lineage: Eukaryota; Viridiplantae; Streptophyta; Magnoliopsida; Poales; Poaceae. The record is from RNAcentral.
CCAAGAACAACUAGAAAUUGUGUACUUUAAAAUGAAAUUAGAGAAAGGUAUAUGUCAUUGCCAUUUAAUUGUGAAGUUCUCAUUGUCAAAAUAUCAACUGAUACAGGUGUGAAUUGUGAUUAUUGUGCUGGAGUCACGGGGUAAACAGUAGUGUCAUAGAACUGCUCGUCUUCUAUUACAGAAUAUCAUAGUGUUAUCUACUGACAAGCUUUAUCCGUUUUAU